CCUACGGGAGGCUGCAGUAGGGAAUCUUCCACAAUGGGCGAAAGCCUGAUGGAGCAACGCCGCGUGGGUGAAGAAGGUCUUCGGAUCGUAAAACCCUGUUGUUAGAGAAGAAAGUGCGUGAGAGUAACUGUUCACGUUUCGACGGUAUCUAACCAGACAGCCACGGCUAACUACGUGCCAGCAGCCGCGGUAAUACGUAGGUGGCAAGCGUUAUCCGGAUUUAUUGGGCGUAAAGGGAACGCAGGCGGUCUUUUAAGUCUGAUGUGAAAGCCUUCGGCUUAACCGGAGUAGUGCAUUGGAAACUGGGAGACUGGAGUGCAGAAGAGGAGAGUGGAACUCCAUGUGUAGCGGUGAAAUGCGUAGAUAUAUGGAAGAACACCAGUGGCGAAAGCGGCUCUCUGGUCUGUAACUGACGCUGAGGUUCGAAAGCGUGGGUAGCAAACAGGAUUAGAUACCCCAGUAGUC
RNAcentral lists this ribosomal RNA (465 nucleotides) under uncultured bacterium. RNAcentral's name for it is "partial 16S ribosomal RNA". It matches the Rfam family "Bacterial small subunit ribosomal RNA", at positions 338 to 795 of the family's 1533-position model. The record is from RNAcentral.